This 254-nucleotide ribosomal RNA is filed under the name uncultured bacterium. Its description in RNAcentral is "partial 16S ribosomal RNA". It matches the Rfam family "Bacterial small subunit ribosomal RNA", at positions 524 to 776 of the family's 1533-position model. The record is from RNAcentral.
UACGUAGGGUGCGAGCGUUGUCCGGAAUUAUUGGGCGUAAAGAGCUCGUAGGUGGUUCGGCAAGUCAGUUGUGAAAUCUCCGCGCUCAACGCGGAGGGGUCAGCUGAAACUGCUGUGACUUGAGUCUGGUAGGGGAGUGUGGAAUUCCCGGUGUAGCGGUGAAAUGCGCAGAUAUCGGGAGGAACACCAGUGGCGAAGGCGGCACUCUGGGCCAGUACUGACACUGAGGAGCGAAAGCGUGGGGAGCGAACAGG